This 253-nucleotide ribosomal RNA is filed under the name uncultured bacterium. Its description in RNAcentral is "partial 16S ribosomal RNA". It matches the Rfam family "Bacterial small subunit ribosomal RNA", at positions 524 to 776 of the family's 1533-position model. The record is from RNAcentral.
UACGAAGGGGGCUAGCGUUGUUCGGAAUUACUGGGCGUAAAGCGCACGUAGGCGGACAUUUAAGUCAGGGGUGAAAUCCCGGGGCUCAACCCCGGAACUGCCUUUGAUACUGGGUGUCUAGAGUAUGGAAGAGGUGAGUGGAAUUCCGAGUGUAGAGGUGAAAUUCGUAGAUAUUCGGAGGAACACCAGUGGCGAAGGCGGCUCACUGGUCCAUUACUGACGCUGAGGUGCGAAAGCAUGGGGAGCGAACAUG